RNAcentral lists this ribosomal RNA (465 nucleotides) under Vreelandella stevensii. RNAcentral describes it as "partial 16S ribosomal RNA". It matches the Rfam family "Bacterial small subunit ribosomal RNA", at positions 338 to 795 of the family's 1533-position model. The record is from RNAcentral. Lineage: Bacteria; Pseudomonadati; Pseudomonadota; Gammaproteobacteria; Oceanospirillales; Halomonadaceae.
CCUACGGGAGGCAGCAGUGGGGAAUAUUGGACAAUGGGCGAAAGCCUGAUCCAGCCAUGCCGCGUGUGUGAAGAAGGCCUUCGGGUUGUAAAGCACUUUCAGUGGGGAAGAAAGCCUUGGGGCUAAUACCCUCGAGGAAGGACAUCACCCACAGAAGAAGCACCGGCUAACUCCGUGCCAGCAGCCGCGGUAAUACGGAGGGUGCGAGCGUUAAUCGGAAUUACUGGGCGUAAAGCGCGCGUAGGCGGUCUGAUAAGCCGGUUGUGAAAGCCCCGGGCUCAACCUGGGAACGGCAUCCGGAACUGUCAGGCUAGAGUGCAGGAGAGGAAGGUAGAAUUCCCGGUGUAGCGGUGAAAUGCGUAGAGAUCGGGAGGAAUACCAGUGGCGAAGGCGGCCUUCUGGACUGACACUGACGCUGAGGUGCGAAAGCGUGGGUAGCAAACAGGAUUAGAAACCCCAGUAGUC